CAGGAAUGGUCGCGAGGAAGUGGCUCGUCUUAUCCGCGAGCGUAUAUUUUUUCUCGCGCGAAAAAUCCCAGCGCCGGUAAUGCUCGAAGCCGAGAUAAUUCACCAUCCCGGCGAGCACGAUGACGAUCGCGACCUGCACGAUCACGUUCAGCCCGAUCCGGAGCCGAUGGAUUUUAAGCGGCUGGUGCGGCGGCGGAGAAACGUCGUCGGCCAUGGGUUAGAGCCUCCACUUGCGCGACUGGAAGGCGUGAUAGGUAAAAGUUAGCAUCACCAUCGUGAGGCUGAGGUAGAGCACGAUCGG
This 301-nucleotide unclassified non-coding RNA is filed under the name uncultured bacterium. RNAcentral describes it as "contains 16S-23S intergenic spacer region". The record is from RNAcentral.